Molecule: ribosomal RNA, 468 nt
Filed under: uncultured bacterium
Lineage: Bacteria
Description: partial 16S ribosomal RNA
Rfam family: Bacterial small subunit ribosomal RNA
Source: RNAcentral
GACGAACGCUGGCGGCGUGCUUAACACAUGCAAGUCGAACGGAAAGGCCCUGCUUUUGUGGGGUGCUCGAGUGGCGAACGGGUGAGUAACACGUGAGUAACCUGCCCUUGACUUUGGGAUAACUUCAGGAAACUGGGGCUAAUACCGGAUAGGAGCUCCUGCUGCAUGGUGGGGGUUGGAAAGUUUCGGCGGUUGGGGAUGGACUCGCGGCUUAUCAGCUUGUUGGUGAGGUAGUGGCUUACCAAGGCUUUGACGGGUAGCCGGCCUGAGAGGGUGACCGGCCACAUGGGGACUGAGAUACGGCCCAGACUCCUACGGGAGGCAGCAGUGGGGAAUAUUGCACAAUGGGCGGAAGCCUGAUGCAGCAACGCCGCGUGCGGGAUGACGGCCUUCGGGUUGUAAACCGCUUUCGCCUGUGACGAAGCGUGAGUGACGGUAAUGGGUAAAGAAGCACCGGCUAACUACGUG